AAUACCUAGUGGCGGACGGGUGAGUAACGCGUGGGAAUCUGCCUUUAGAUGGGGGAUAACGGGCCGAAAGGUCCGCUAAUACCGCAUAUGCCGCAAGGUGAAAGGAGUAAUCCGUCUAAAGAUGAGCCCGCGUCCGAUUAGCUAGUUGGUAGAGUAAGAGCCUACCAAGGCGACGAUCGGUAGCUGGUCUGAGAGGAUGAUCAGCCACAAUGGGACUGAGACACGGCCCAU
RNAcentral lists this ribosomal RNA (231 nucleotides) under uncultured Chromatiales bacterium. RNAcentral's name for it is "partial 16S ribosomal RNA". It matches the Rfam family "Bacterial small subunit ribosomal RNA", at positions 87 to 334 of the family's 1533-position model. Lineage: Bacteria; Pseudomonadati; Pseudomonadota; Gammaproteobacteria; Chromatiales. The record is from RNAcentral.